Molecule: RNA transcript, 2290 nt
Organism: Grus americana (Whooping crane)
Lineage: Eukaryota; Metazoa; Chordata; Aves; Gruiformes; Gruidae
Gene: CCAR2
Gene name: cell cycle and apoptosis regulator 2
Exons: 6
Source: RefSeq, a predicted model, not a curated record
GGUUCAAGCGGCUGCCGCCCCCACCCCGGGUCCUCCCCCGAGCCCCCUCCUCGGUCAGCUCCGGGGGAUCCUGAUGCCUCGCGGGGGGGUGGGGUGUAAAUCUUGUCCUUCCCCCCCAAAACCUCCCUGCUGAGCCCCCCGCUCUCCCCCCGAGCUGCUGCCGCGGGUGGGUGGGGAGGUGGUGCGGGGUGGGGAUGUCCCCGCCGGGGAGGGGAUGCAUCGCGGGUGGGAGGAAGACGGUGGUCACCAGCCUGCAGGAGCGCCUGGGGGGGUGGAUGAGUUCUUCUUCCAGCUCAGGGCCGGGUACCGCAGGUGGGGAAGAUGCUGGUGAAAGCUGCCUGCAGCCCUGGGCUCUCUCCGACCAGCCGUGCAUCCCGCAGCCUCUCCCGAGACCCCGGCACAGCUCCCACCCGUGCCACCCCUGGGCAGCAGCAGAGCAUCCCUGGAGCCCAGCGCCGGUUCCAGCCUUACCGCAUCCCGCCGCUCCUUCCCCGGAAAGCAGUGAACCUCUUCCCAUCACCCCCAUCCGCUCAGCUGAGAUGCCCGGGGCAAGGACAGGAGCAAGAGCGACUCGGGCAGAUGGUAAGGAUUGGGAUGUGUGUUCCCUCUGUGGGGUGGGCAUCUGGGCAGCCCCCUCCCCUGCUGCCCUGCACUGCCUGUGCCUUCCGGAGCGCUGAACCUUCACUUGGGCCAGACCUUAAGACACGGGGCCCUUCCCUGCUGGGUGCUCUGGCCGUGCAGUGAUUUUGGGGGGAGUGGGGGGGGAUAUUUGUGGUCAGAGAGGAUCUCUCUGGUUUCUUUAAGUCUCAGGGCAGCCAGCUCUGUGUUCCCACACCACGUGCACGGGGACCGCUGGCGGGUGAGCCCACUCAGGGCGAGCCCCAUCGCCCUCGGGGCAGUUCUCUGCCUCCAGCCCCUUCUGCGAUGCCAGGGAGAUGCUACGGCAGCAUCCGGCUGCCCCAUGGGUUCUACCACCUCUGCCUGCGCUGGCUGGCCCCCUCCCCUCCCCACCCGCCCCCUCACUGGCAGUACCCCAGCCACAUCCCAGGGGCUGACCGCGAGGAGGAUGCUGAGGCCACUCUGGAUGAUGCCGAUUCUGCUUUCAGGUGAGGAGGAGGAGGGAGGACUGCUCUCGGCGCAGGGGCCUGGCUUAUGAGGCAAUGGCCCCGAUACCCCCAGAUCGUUGGAGCAGGGUGUCUCACCAGGUUUGUUCUCUAUCGACGACUCCAGUGAGCAAAUGGACUCCUGAACACCCGACAAAGCAAACCGAGGUGUGGACCCAGGUGUGUGCUGGACUGGGCGGUCCCAGUGAGGGCUAAUUCACCCAGGAGAUGCUGAUGCGGGGUUUUGGCUACAAACCUUACAAGGCGCUCCCGGCCUUGCCGGAGGAGGAAGAGCCGCCGGAGACCAGGAACCUGGAGCCAGAAAGGGCUGCCAAAACGGCGGAGGAGGAGGCUGAGCAGACAUAGGAAACCUCCCGCUGCUGCCUCCUGCCCCAGCCCAGGUCUCCCAGUGUUUUGGUUUUUUUCUGGAGAAAGCAGAGCAGCCAGCUCCACCUGGAGAGCAAAAUCCACACGUGGAGAUCAAGCUGGGUGAGCCAGGGUGCUGGGACAUGGGGUGCCAUCUUUGUGAGCUGCCAGUCACCCCCUCUCCUCUCUUCUAGACUAAUGACUGCUUAGACGAGGAACCAGCAUCCUCCAGAUCUCCACCUGGAGACAGUGAAGCCCCCAAACGUCACGCAGCGGGGUCGUGGAUGGCAGCACGGUCCCUGCCAGCUGUUCCUGAUGGGCUUGAGCUGGCUCCUACCCUGGGCAUGCAGAGCCCGGGCAGCCUUAGGGAUGUGCAGGGUUUGCUCUGACCGGUUGUCUGUGUUUAAUGGAAACCUUUUUGGUAGGAAAUCUUGCAGCCAUGCACGUAUCAGAGACGGGCCAUGGGCCACGUUGGUGCUCUGAGCUGGACGCACAAGUGGGGGACACAUGGGCUUGUUUAGGACGGAGGGACCCAAACGCAGGGGUGGUGCUCGCUGUGCUGCAGGCUGCCCGGCAGCUUGGAGUUGUCUCUGGAUGCUGCUGUGCCCGUAGCGCGUCUCUUUGCUGCAGUUACCAGCUCCACCCCGUGCCAGCCCUGUAAUUGGUUUCCAACCCCUCGUCCUGCGCAGCAGCGGCUCAUCCCAGGACACGGACAGCAGCAGGGAGGGCUCCUGCAGCCUCUCCAUGUGCUGAAAGGCACCAGCUCAGGAUGGAAUUCACUGUAUCCAACUGUAAAAUUGUCUUUCUCGUGCUUUGCUGAA